GGGUGCGAUCAUACCAGCACUAAUGCAUCAGAUUCCAUUGGAACUCCGCAGUUAAGCUUGCUUGGACGAUGUGUAGUAGUUUAAUGCAUACCAGCUUUGUGUGCAAAUUUUUGGAAUGCAUCCA
Ribosomal RNA from Cephalotus follicularis, 124 nucleotides. The record is from Rfam. Lineage: Eukaryota; Viridiplantae; Streptophyta; Magnoliopsida; Oxalidales; Cephalotaceae.